This 79-nucleotide transfer RNA is filed under the name Bacteroidota bacterium. RNAcentral's name for it is "Bacteroidetes bacterium tRNA-Gly". It matches the Rfam family "tRNA". Rfam says of the family: Transfer RNA (tRNA) molecules are approximately 80 nucleotides in length. Their secondary structure includes four short double-helical elements and three loops (D, anti-codon, and T loops). The record is from RNAcentral. Lineage: Bacteria; Pseudomonadati; Bacteroidota.
UGGAGUUUAGCUCAGCGGUUCAGAGCAUCCCGACUACCAGUCGGGAGGGUCGGCGGUUCGAUCCCGUCAACUCCCACCC